This is a long non-coding RNA of Salvelinus sp. IW2-2015, 1461 nucleotides long. RefSeq lists it as uncharacterized. The record is from RefSeq and is a predicted model, not a curated record. NCBI's taxonomy places the organism in Eukaryota, Metazoa, Chordata, Actinopteri, Salmoniformes, Salmonidae.
AAGGGCGGGGUUUAGAGGGAGGCGUAGACAAUGAGUCUCCAUUGGUCCACUAGUUCUGGAGUGACGGUUCAUCCUAACCCAAUCAAUGAACAUGAUAUACAGGAUUUUCUUUCUAUUGGCUACUUAACCAGACGGCCUGACUCCACUACCACCCGCCAAAUCUUUCCCCCAUGUACUAAACAGUUAUCAACACCURCGCCGAACUUUGGGCAAAAGGUAAUUAAUAUGUUUACCUAAGUAGUUACAUGUUUUGUCAUUAAAUGUAUUAGAUAGAUAGGCAUCUAAUAUCCGUACAUUAUUGACCCGUGACUGACAAUUUUUGAAGUACGUUAGCUUAGUUGGCUGGCUUUGGUGUCGGACCAGGUAGCCAAGUGGAAUGAAUCGCAAGACUGCAUGUCUGUAACGUUACAGUUAGCCACUGCCAGCCGUAGUGAAAGGUGUGUCUUAGAGAGAGAAACAUGCAUGUGUCUUAUGUCCUCACAGGCGUUAUGGAGAAGUUCCUCAACAGAUUGCAGCAGGCAAUGCAACACCUUCCUCUGGUUUUUGAUUAGUUUGCCAGCAUCAUUGAGAUUAUAACUAUCAGAUCACUAGCAAAUCAAGUAGACUUGCCUCAAAAGGUAGUGCAGAGCUUUCCAACCUAUAUAGUCUAGUCAAUGCUGAAAUGGAAGAAAGAUGUGCCCCAUCAAUUGUUGAGUUGGAUGGUGAAAUGGGACGUCCUAAACUGAUUGUGUCAGAACAGCACCUUCGACAGGUGAUUGAAAUGGAUCUGCCUGUACCUUGCAACUGCUUGGCAUCUCAUCAAAAACUGACUAACGUAGAAUGCAGGAAUAYGGUAUCAUGGUGAGGGGAACAUACAGCCAAAUGAUAGACGAGGAGCUGGACAAUCUGGUGGACACAAUCAAGACAAGUUCACCACAAUUAGGAUGGUGAGUUAACGUCUGAAAGCACUGGGUCAUCGAGUCCAGUGGACCCGAGUGUGGGACUCAGUGCAUCGUGUAGAUGAUGCAGGAAUACAGGAAAGAAUGGCACAGGAAAGAAUGGCACAACUUGGAUGUGUUGUCAGAAGAACAUACUCUGUUCGUCUUUCACUCAUACAUGUGGACACCAACCACAAGUUGAUCAGUGUCAUCAAACCAGAUCUGUGGUCACAAACCGGAAAAGAGCUCGGGAGAUAAUGAGCGAGAAUCUUGAGGUCACCUACAAGGGAGAAGAGCGUGACUUUCUGAAGAAGGAGUCAAUACAAAGGAAACAAGACGAGGAAAAAGGCAAAAGAGAAGUUGAAGACUGCUCAAAGAGGCACUGUUAGCAGAUUCCAAACCAAGGGAUGAAAAGGCUUUCUUUUUUUUUUUACCCUGUGAAAGGAUGAAAAGGAUGCAUGAACAUAAAAUUCAGACUGAUCAACAAAUGUGUCCUACCUCAUUGUGAUCUGUGUUGUAAAUAAAGAGCACCUAUUGAAAUCAA